UUCACAAAUAGAACUGACUUCCUGACGUUAGUUAAUGGCGCGAGCAGUGUGUCAUUCUUAAUGACGAAAUUAAUUUAGCGUCGCGAGCGUUGUAGUCAGUCUGUCAGCCCCGCUAAAAGGCUGGUGUCGUUACUCUGCCUUCUCCGGGGGAUGUUGAGAUUAACUCAGGUUGGAGUUGGAGCUGUGACCGAAAGGUGGCUGGUUCGAAUCCCGGGCCGGGCGCUGGAAAAAACGGGCGGAAUUGAUCUGACCACUGGAGGGCUGCUGGGUUCACAUCCUCAAAACAUGAACCUUUUGUUGAUCAGAACUCUAGAGGUUCUUCUUCACUGAACCCAAAUAUAUAUAUAAUGUUUUAGUGGUUCCAUAUAUUAAGGAAGUGAUAGAAGCCUUUUUGGUUCUAUAAGGAGCCUUCCUUUCUAAGAGUGUAUAAUAAUAAACACGUUGUUCUUCUGAU
Oncorhynchus kisutch (coho salmon) is the source of this 454-nucleotide long non-coding RNA. RefSeq lists it as uncharacterized. Lineage: Eukaryota; Metazoa; Chordata; Actinopteri; Salmoniformes; Salmonidae. The transcript is spliced from 2 exons. The record is from RefSeq and is a predicted model, not a curated record.